GAAAAAAAAAACUAAAAUCUUACACACACAGACACACACACAACUAUCUAAAAAACGAAAAUGAAAACAGAACAGAAAUCGCUUACAAAAAGCUCUUUACUUUAAGUCUUUUUUGAAAGAAAGAAAAAAAAACAAAACAAAACAAAAGAAAAACAAACAAGUAAACCUUAUUAUUACCAAUAUUAUGAUUAUGAUUAUUAUUAUUAUUAUUAUUAUGAGAAUAUGCUGAAAAAAAUCGUGAAGCAAUUGUGUAUUGGGGGCAGCCAAUUUCAAAAAGAAAGAAAUGAUUCCAACUCCAACCAACCAACCAACCAAACAAACAACAAACCAACCAACCAAGCUAUCAAUCAAUCAAUCAGUCAAUCAAACCAAUCAAACAAAUCAGAACCAACCAAUCAAUCAGUCGAUUUAACAACAACUUUUCAUCAAGUCUUAUAAAGCCAAAAGAGCAGCCCUACAUGGACAGCAAAGAUCAACGAAUAAAAUCGAGCUAUAAACGAAUCAUUCACAUAAAGGCACAACACCACCAUCAUCACCAUCACCAUCGCCAUAACCAUCUCCAUCAAAUUAAAUUUGUUUUACUGUCACUAUAAAGUCCAAAGUCCCUGGCUAUCUUUUGGUUCUAUCCAGACUUACCGCAGCCCAUCAGCCACUGCCCUGGACGCAUUCAUUCGUUAGAGCCGUAAAGAUCGAUUUGUUAAAUAGAGAUCUGAUCUGAUUAAGAGAUUUGAUCGAAGAGAAGCAACAGACAAGACAUCUAUCCAUACAAGAAAUCGAAGAGCAGUAGAUUUUAUUAUUUCCAUAAGGUUUCAUGGUCAUGUUAAUGUCAUACAGUGCACAAAUUACAAUAGAAAUAUAACUUAACUCAUCUGACAAGUAUUUUAUCUUACUGUUACACUCGAUCUGGCUCAAAAGUGAUAUCUUACUGCAUUCUGUUCGAACAUGAGGCUUCUUCCUCGCGACUGUGCUCACGGUUUGGACAAUGGGCUCUCUCUCUCUCUCUCAUUGUCGCCGCUUUCUGUAGAAGCAGGUGGGAGGAGAGGGAGUGUGAGGCCGGGCGAAGCUCUUGCUCAUUCCGCUCGCUUUUUUAUCUCGAGUUCCAUUCCAUCUCGUGUUAACAUCCGUUCAUCCAUUCAUCCAUACAGCCGCACACAUAUUGAAACAUAUGUACAUACAUGCCAUACAUUACAUAGAUCAUACACCACAUUGCCAUAGCGUAAUGUGAUUUGAUCCCUGGUCCAGGGUGUCCUUCCACAGUCGAGUCAGAUGAUUAUUUCAUUUUUAUGGCUUGAUGUUUGGGUGUAGGCUCUUGGGAUCGGAUCCGUGGUCUCUUACUCGCCGUUAGAAUAUAUGCUCGUAGAAUCCAAUGAAAAAAUACCAAAUGAACAACUGGAUCCAAAGCAACAACGGCAGGAAGCAGCAGGAAACACACACGCACACAAUCACAAACUAUGUGUAAAAUAUAAUAAUAAUUGAAUCAGAACUAUAACCCCCCUCUAAUAAUACCAAAUGUUGAACAAUUACCAAUAUAGUAUGUUUAAAAUAAUGAAAGAAAAACAAACAAAACAAAAAACAACCAAAAAAAAAAACCAAAAGCAAAUGCAAAUGCAACAAAAAUAUAUUUGAAAUUCUCUAUACACUUGCAGACAAUGUGUAAAAACAUAGAAGGUAUGAAAAGCUUCGAAGCGAAAAGAGAACAAGAAAAAAAAACCAAUAAAACUAAAAAAAAACCAUAAGAAGCCUACAAAAAAAAUAACUGGACAAACGUAACUGUACAAAUAUAUCGGGACAUCGAGAGAGAUAGAGCGUGAGCUGUUGAUGACACAGAGAGAGAGAGAGAAAGAGAGAGGAGAGAGAGUGAGAGAGACAGGGCAGGGAGAGAAGAGUGGGAGUAGGAGAAACAGAGCUAUAGUAAGAGAGGGAGGGCGCGUGCGUGUGCGCUUUCUCCGUAUGAGUGAGGAAAGCGCGCGUACAUCCCAAACCCAUCCAAUACGCCCCAGUCUCCACUCCCGGCACCACCAACAACACAAUUGUUUCAUCGAUCGAUCGGCAUUGUAAGAGGUAUUUUUAAUACACAUACUACUAUCACUACCACUAU
This is a long non-coding RNA of Drosophila subobscura, 2098 nucleotides long. RefSeq lists it as uncharacterized. Lineage: Eukaryota; Metazoa; Arthropoda; Insecta; Diptera; Drosophilidae. The record is from RefSeq and is a predicted model, not a curated record. The transcript has 2 exons.